GUGGGGAAUUUUGCGCAAUGGGCGAAAGCCUGACGCAGCGACGCCGCGUGGGUGAUGAAGGUCUUCGGAUCGUAAAACCCUGUCAUGCGGAACGAAAUGCAUCAUCUCUAACAGAGAUUAUGCUUGACGGUACUGCAGGAGGAAGCCCCGGCCAACUACGUGCCAGCAGCCGCGGUAAUACGUAGGGGGCAAGCGUUAUUCGGAAUUACUGGGCGUAAAGCGCGUGUAGGCGGCUAGGCAAGUCAGGUGUGAAAUCCCUUGGCUUAACCAAGGAACUGCGCUUGAAACUGCCUGGCUUGAGUGCGGGAGAGGGGAGUGGAAUUCCCAGUGUAGCGGUGAAAUGCGUAGAUAUUGGGAGGAACACCGGUGGCGAAGGCGGCUUCCUGGACCGCCACUGACGCUGAGACGCGAAAGCUAGGGGAGCAAACGGGAUUAGAUACCCCGGUAGUCC
RNAcentral lists this ribosomal RNA (451 nucleotides) under uncultured bacterium. RNAcentral describes it as "bacterial SSU rRNA". It matches the Rfam family "Bacterial small subunit ribosomal RNA", at positions 354 to 796 of the family's 1533-position model. The record is from RNAcentral.